GCAUAAAUAAUGUUUUUCAGGCUACAGUAGCAAAGCGAAAAUAUCAGGAGCGAAGAUCUUUGACCAUGGCUCCUCCGAUCUGUGAAGAAAGUCUGGCUGCUCCUCAGGAGCACCUCACAGAGACCCCUCUCUGAGAACAGGCAGUCUUUUCAUGCCUUUCUACAUUCUGAACUGAAGCAAGUGUUUGUCACCCAGGAAACCUCAGGCCAGGCAGUACGUGGUGGCAGUGCGUGUGUGAAGUGUCUGUGCACGCCUUGCGCGUGGGCUGGAGCCCGCCUUCGGAGAGCCGCCCCACAGCCCCUCCUGAGGCAGCUGCAGCUGCAGGGGAACGUGGCAGUGGAGCAGGAGGUGUCACAGGGAGGGAAGGCCACCCUGGGAGGGGUGGACGGAGGCAGUGCCAGUUCCUCUGGCUCUCAGCAGUGGAGGGCUUCAGACCCUCCUGCUACGAGGGACUGAACGCUACAGAGAGGAGGCUCACAGCUCACUGCAGAAUGGAUGAGCGCGACUGAACUGUUGACCUCAAGCAACUGGCAAGUGUUUUUUCAGACCUGUGAGAAUGUUGACCCUAGAAAAGAGAAGUACUGCACGCUAGCUUUGGAUUAAUUAUUUUCUUAGGAUUCUGGAAAGGUAAAACUCCUAAUAGCUGUGCUGAAGGACAGACUUACCACUCUGACUAGUGAAGACAGACUUGAUAACAUGCACUGAAGUCAGUAAGCAGGCCAAGCACACCCCAAGAGGGUGUUAGAAGAGUCUUGUGGCAAUAUUCUUGUUAAUUUUUGAGACAGAUGUAUUGGGGGUGGGUGUUCUGGGGAUAGGUUAAUUUACGUUGGGGUCAGGUAAAGACCCUUAAUGAGGAUAGAUAUGCAGAAAAUAAAAGCAGACCUAAAGUGGUUCA
RNAcentral lists this long non-coding RNA (895 nucleotides) under Cyanistes caeruleus (blue tit). RNAcentral's name for it is "lncRNA (ENSCCEG00000015718.1)". The record is from RNAcentral. Lineage: Eukaryota; Metazoa; Chordata; Aves; Passeriformes; Paridae.